AGGUACUCCGACUACGCAUACACAGCAGGCGGGACCCUCUCAGGGUCAAGCAGCGUGGGACUACUUCCAGUAGUUGACUGAGCUCCGCAGCAGAGCCGGAUCGUGAGCUUCCGAGCCUUGAGUCAUCGUAGGACUCUUUCUUCCUGUUAUUUCCUUUGUACUCUGUUUUGUCGAAAUUGAAGUUCUUAGACAUGCUCUGUUAUCGCCCCUGUUAGGGUUUGAAUUGUGAGGCCGGAGGCCAUUUUGUUGUAAACUGUUUAUUCGCUGUAAAGCAUGCUGCUAGUUGGGAUUAUUCUGUAUUUUUAUGCAGGUU
Long non-coding RNA from Prunus persica (peach), 313 nucleotides. RefSeq lists it as uncharacterized. The transcript is spliced from 2 exons. NCBI's taxonomy places the organism in Eukaryota, Viridiplantae, Streptophyta, Magnoliopsida, Rosales, Rosaceae. The record is from RefSeq and is a predicted model, not a curated record.